RNAcentral lists this ribosomal RNA (241 nucleotides) under Bacillus cereus. RNAcentral's name for it is "partial 16S ribosomal RNA". It matches the Rfam family "Bacterial small subunit ribosomal RNA", at positions 370 to 603 of the family's 1533-position model. Lineage: Bacteria; Bacillati; Bacillota; Bacilli; Caryophanales; Bacillaceae. The record is from RNAcentral.
AAUGGACGAAAGUCUGACGGAGCACGCCGCGUGAGUGAUGAAGGCUUUCGGGUCGUAAAACUCUGUUGUUAGGGAAGAACAAGUGCUAGUUGAAUAAGCUGGCACCUUGACGGUACCUAACCAGAAAGCCACGGCUAACUACGUGCCAGCAGCCGCGGUAAUACGUAGGUGGCAAGCCUUAUCCGGAAUUAUUGGGCGUAAAGCGCGCGCAGGUGGUUUCUUAAGUCUGAUGUGAAAGCCC